GCUAGCGUUGCUCGGAAUCACUGGGCGUAAAGGGUGCGUAGGCGGGUGUUUUAGUCAGGGGUGAAAUCCUGGAGCUCAACUCCAGAACUGCCUUUGAUACUGAGGAUCUUGAGUUCGGGAGAGGUGAGUGGAACUGCGAGUGUAGAGGUGAAAUUCGUAGAUAUUCGCAAGAACACCAGUGGCGAAGGCGGCUCACUGGCCCGAUACUGACGCUGAGGCACGAAAGCGUGGGGAGCAAACAGG
Molecule: ribosomal RNA, 243 nt
Filed under: uncultured bacterium
Lineage: Bacteria
Description: partial 16S ribosomal RNA
Rfam family: Bacterial small subunit ribosomal RNA
Source: RNAcentral